AUUAGAUACCCCGGUAGUCCUGCUUACUGACUCUUACACCAAGUAUCUCGUAUGCCGUCUUCUGCUUGAAAAAAAAAACUGGGCUUAACCCAGGAAGUGCAUUUGAAACUAUUCAGCUUGAGUAGGGGAGAGGAAAGUGGAAUUCCUGGUGUAGAGGUGAAAUUCGUAAAUAUCAGGAGGAACAUCUGUUGAAAAGGCCACCUACUAGCCAUAUACUCACUAUGGUACGCGAGAGCCUGCAUCCCAGAUAG
Molecule: ribosomal RNA, 251 nt
Filed under: uncultured prokaryote
Description: partial 16S rRNA
Rfam family: Bacterial small subunit ribosomal RNA (bases 43-251)
Source: RNAcentral